GAUGAACGCUGGCGGCGUGCCUAAUACAUGCAAGUCGAGCGAACGGACGAGAAGCUUGCUUCUCUGAUGUUAGCGGCGUACGGGUGAGUAACACGUGGAUAACCUACCUAUAAGACUGGGAUAACUUCGGGAAACCGGAGCUAAUACCGGAUGAUAUUUUGAACCGCAUGGUUCAAAAGUGAAAGACGGUCUUGCUGUCACUUAUAGAUGGAUCCGCGCUGCAUUAGCUAGUUGGUAAGGUAACGGCUUACCAAGGCAACGAUGCAUAGCCGACCUGAGAGGGUGAUCGGCCACACUGGAACUGAGGCACGGUCCAGACUCCUACGGGAGGCAGCAGUAGGGAAUCUUCCGCAAUGGGCGAAAGCCUGACGGAGCAACGCCGCGUGAGUGAUGAAGGUCUUCGGAUCGUAAAACUCUGUUAUUAGGGAAGAACAUAUGUGUAAGUAACUGUGCACAUCUUGACGGUACCUAAUCAGAAAGCCACGGCUAACUACGUG
Molecule: ribosomal RNA, 497 nt
Filed under: uncultured bacterium
Lineage: Bacteria
Description: partial 16S ribosomal RNA
Rfam family: Bacterial small subunit ribosomal RNA
Source: RNAcentral